CCUGGACGGAGGUUGCUGACGGGCUGCCGCCCCGCCCACCUGCUUAACGAAGUUCUCCUUGAUGGCCGCUCGCCGUGCCGGUGAACAAGGAAUAAUCCCGGCCAGCCUCCCAGCGGCAGCGUGCGGCAGCGUACGGCGGCGUACUCCGAAGGCAUCGUGCCGCCGGGCGCGGUCGCAGACGUGGAGCGCUUCUCGAGCCCCUCCCGUCCGCCGGUAACGCGCCCCCGCCGCUUCGUCCUCGUCGCCGUCGACCUCGCCGCCUCGGCCUCCUCUUCAUCGAGGUGGUGGUGGGCUGGCGGCGGAGGUAAGCUAGAGCCUUCCACUUCUACUCGAUUUCUCCGAGGUAGUUGGCCUCCUCCACGCCGCCCCGCCGGCGUCCAAUUCCUCUGAUCCUCUCUCCGGUGCUCGCCGUGCCGCCGGCCAGGGUGAUCUCUGCAAAACCAUGGAUCCGAUUAGGGGGUUUUAUGCAAAUAAUCGGAUCGCGAUUAAUAGUCGCGAUCCAAAUCAAGGGGUCAUGUGUAAAUGUUCCCCGCCGCCAUGGCUCUUCCCUCCCGGCGAAGGCGACGGCGAGGGCCGCCUCCUCGUUGCUCAUCGACUGAUUGUCGCUCUAGGCCGCACUCAUCCACUGCAACCGCCUCCCCACCAAACCCCCCCGCCGGCGCCGCCGUUACAUCGACCCCGCCUCUCCUCCAUUGGGAGCGGAAGGUCCCCUGCUCCCAUUCCCCAAUCCGCGCCCCAACCAAGCCCAGCUCCACCCCUCACUCGCCUCCUCUUCUUCCGCUCUAGGCCAAAGACCUCAAGCACGGGAUCCUCUGCCUCUGCGAGGAGCUCAAACUCCUCCAAGGUACGCCGUGCGUGCGCCCGCUGACCCACCGCGUUUGCUCGGCUCCAAAAUGUUCGGAUCGCGUGAUCGAUUUCUGCCCAUUGCGGCCCCAAAUGUGCGGAGGAGACGGAGCCGCCGGUUGUGUCAUGCCGGUGCCACUUCUUCGACGGGUGCGGGGACCUGCCGCCGCCGCGGCCUGGAGUCGAUGUGCAAUGGCGUGUGGAUCGAUCUCUUCCUAGGAGUAACUUGAUCGGACGGUGUUCUUGAGAUUUUACUGAAACCUUAACUCUACAACAUUUGUCAGCUCUCUAGAUAACGAUCUGGCUUUAGACUGCAGUUCUACUGCAAAAUACAGCAGAGAUUUGGGAGAAUAGGCACUCUUACUGCUGCCUAUUUCAGGUUACCAUAUAGGAGUAUGAUAUUCAGUUGUCUGAAGUGUAGUUUCAAUUUUUUUUUUCAUUUUGCAGAUUUCAACUAUGAGGAUUAGAUGCAGAAACUUGGCUUGUCAGCUGCUUUCCUGGUUGAACUAUCAGACAGCAUCUUGGCCAGAGUAAAUCUAAUGUUGAAUUUGCUUGUACAUAGAGAAGCUUGCUCCUCAUUUGCUACAUUUUCUCACCAAGCAGUAGACUUCAUUUUGGGAUCAGUUGACUAUCAUAUGCACAAUUCUGAGAGCAGCACUUGUUCCGUAAGUUAGGAAACAAGGAGUUACAUUGGCCAUCUGAUAAUCAUUUCAGUUUCUCAAAAGAUCUCAAGUAUAUCAGAAGGAUUGCUUUUGGCUGACCCGUUUGAUUGAUACUGUCCCUGACAUGCAUGGCAAUAUAUUCAUUCAUCAUGCAUGCUAUUCUUCUAUUCGUUCUGAUUUAGAUUACAUAGAAGGGUGUUGACUCGUUAAACCAACAUGGUUGCCCAGUGUAUCUAUCUUGACUUCAUGAUUGCCCGGUGUAUCCAUUUUAACUCUCAGUUAAGAACAAACAGUUGGCUUCA
Molecule: long non-coding RNA, 1807 nt
Organism: Setaria italica (foxtail millet)
Lineage: Eukaryota; Viridiplantae; Streptophyta; Magnoliopsida; Poales; Poaceae
Exons: 3
Source: RefSeq, a predicted model, not a curated record